GACGAACGCUGGCGGCGUGCUUAACACAUGCAAGUCGAACGGAAAGGCCCUGCUUUUGUGGGGUGCUCGAGUGGCGAACGGGUGAGUAACACGUGAGUAACCUGCCCUUGACUUUGGGAUAACUUCAGGAAACUGGGGCUAAUACCGGAUAGAAGCUCCUGCUGCAUGGUGGGGGUUGGAAAGUUUCGGCGGUUGGGGAUGGACUCGCGGCUUAUCAGCUUGUUGGUGGGGUAGUGGCUUACCAAGGCUUUGACGGGUAGCCGGCCUGAGAGGGUGACCGGCCACAUUGGGACUGAGAUACGGCCCAGACUCCUACGGGAGGCAGCAGUGGGGAAUAUUGCACAAUGGGCGGAAGCCUGAUGCAGCAACGCCGCGUGCGGGAUGACGGCCUUCGGGUUGUAAACCGCUUUCGCCUGUGACGAAGCGUGAGUGACGGUAAUGGGUAAAGAAGCACCGGCUAACUACGUGCCAGCAGCCGCGGUGAUACGUAGGGUGCGAGCGUUGUCCGGAUUUAUUGGGCGUAAAGGGCUCGUAGGUGGUUGAUCGCGUCGGAAGUGUAAUCUUGGGGCUUAACCCUGAGCGUGCUUUCGAUACGGGUUGACUUGAGGAAGGUAGGGGAGAAUGGAAUUCCUGGUGGAGCGGUGGAAUGCGCAGAUAUCAGGAGGAACACCAGUGGCGAAGGCGGUUCUCUGGGCCUUUCCUGACGCUGAGGAGCGAAAGCGUGGGGAGCGAACAGGCUUAGAUACCCUGGUAGUCCACGCUGUAAACGGUGGGUACUAGGUGUGGGGUCCAUUCCACGGGUUCCGUGCCGUAGCUAACGCUUUAAGUACCCCGCCUGGGGAGUACGGCCGCAAGGCUAAAACUCAAAGGAAUUGACGGGGCCCCGCACAAGCGGCGGAGCAUGCGGAUUAAUUCGAUGCAACGCGUAGAACCUUACCUGGGUUUGACAUGGAUCGGGAGUGCUCAGAGAUGGGUGUGCCUCUUUUGGGGUCGGUUCACAGGUGGUGCAUGGCUGUCGUCAGCUCGUGUCGUGAGAUGUUGGGUUAAGUCCCGCAACGAGCGCAACCCUUGUUCACUGUUGCCAGCACGUUAUGGUGGGGACUCAGUGGAGACCGCCGGGGUCAACUCGGAGGAAGGUGGGGAUGACGUCAAGUCAUCAUGCCCCUUAUGUCCAGGGCUUCACGCAUGCUACAAUGGCUGGUACAGAGAGUGGCGAGCCUGUGAGGGUGAGCGAAUCUCGGAAAGCCGGCCUCAGUUCGGAUUGGGGUCUGCAACUCGACCUCAUGAAGUCGGAGUCGCUAGUAAUCGCAGAUCAGCAACGCUGCGGUGAAUACGUUCCCGGG
Molecule: ribosomal RNA, 1343 nt
Filed under: uncultured bacterium
Lineage: Bacteria
Description: 16S ribosomal RNA
Rfam family: Bacterial small subunit ribosomal RNA
Source: RNAcentral